Molecule: long non-coding RNA, 1063 nt
Filed under: Cricetulus griseus (Chinese hamster)
Lineage: Eukaryota; Metazoa; Chordata; Mammalia; Rodentia; Cricetidae
Description: lncRNA (ENSCGRG00015041953.1)
Source: RNAcentral
UCUUGGGGUCCCCACCCUCCCUUACACCUGACACAUGCUGGUCGCUGUCUGGCUCUUGGUGUGGGCAAAAAGACAUGCAACUAAAGCUGUCUGUAAGGAAGGAAUGACAACUGGGAAAAGACGCAUGACACCAUCCUUCACAUUAACUUUUGAUUUUGUGUAAAAAGCGGGGGUGGGGUGGAGGAUGAAAGGACUUGCUUGUUUCCUAGUGUUGCUGGGGCAUAAAGGAAAGAGCUCAAUCUUCCCUAAAGAGCCCUUUCGUGAUCCAAAAUCUCAGCACCUGUAAGAAGAACUGGACGGGGGAAGGGAGAAAGUGAAGAACUGUAAACAGUUUUUCUCGUGAGCAAUCCUUAAUGCGGAAGUAAGAAUUCAUAAUUCGGUAUGCAGAUAAGGGACUUGAAAACCGGAAACUGAUAAUCAGAACAGAACAUCCUGCCUCUGAACUGUUUGAAUUGGAGGAAGACUUUUAAGAUCAGUCUGAGUGCUGUGGAUGCAGAGAAAUCCAGUAAUGUAAGCAUUAGUUCCUCCUAGACACAAAGGUUCCAACAGCUGAGGAACUAUGAGAUAAACCAGACAAGCCAUUGCAGACACUUGGUUAUACUGACUGUUGUCCUGGUGAAUGCCGGAUACCAGAAGGCAACAGAGGAAUGACAGCAGGAAGUGUACCGGUCAGGAUUUGAAAGUUGAGUGAAGAAGGGGAGAAAGAGCAGGCAAUGGUGGCAGGCGUUUCUCUGUGAGUUCAAUACCAGCUUGGUUUACACAGCCAGUUCCAGGACAGCCUCCAAAGCUACAGAGAAACCCUGUCUUCUUGAAAAACACCACCACCACCAAACAAAACAAACAAAGAAAAACACCAAAAAACAAAACUGGGGGAGAAAGGCAGUGGAGACUGAGAUUCCUUUCGGGCAGGUCUCAAACCUCAGUGGGAACGCGCAGGAUGCUUAGGACAGUGCAUGGCAAAUCUGAAUGCCGGAAUCCAGCCUCAGGCUGGUGGUCCAAACUUUGUAGAUGAAACCGUGAGAGUGACGGUGGAGUGCUGCCCAGUCCGGGCAACCAUCUGCUG